RNAcentral lists this ribosomal RNA (1540 nucleotides) under Klebsiella pneumoniae. RNAcentral describes it as "bacterial SSU rRNA". It matches the Rfam family "Bacterial small subunit ribosomal RNA". The record is from RNAcentral. Lineage: Bacteria; Pseudomonadati; Pseudomonadota; Gammaproteobacteria; Enterobacterales; Enterobacteriaceae.
AAAUUGAAGAGUUUGAUCAUGGCUCAGAUUGAACGCUGGCGGCAGGCCUAACACAUGCAAGUCGAGCGGUAGCACAGAGAGCUUGCUCUCGGGUGACGAGCGGCGGACGGGUGAGUAAUGUCUGGGAAACUGCCUGAUGGAGGGGGAUAACUACUGGAAACGGUAGCUAAUACCGCAUAACGUCGCAAGACCAAAGUGGGGGACCUUCGGGCCUCAUGCCAUCAGAUGUGCCCAGAUGGGAUUAGCUAGUAGGUGGGGUAACGGCUCACCUAGGCGACGAUCCCUAGCUGGUCUGAGAGGAUGACCAGCCACACUGGAACUGAGACACGGUCCAGACUCCUACGGGAGGCAGCAGUGGGGAAUAUUGCACAAUGGGCGCAAGCCUGAUGCAGCCAUGCCGCGUGUGUGAAGAAGGCCUUCGGGUUGUAAAGCACUUUCAGCGGGGAGGAAGGCGUUAAGGUUAAUAACCUCAUCGAUUGACGUUACCCGCAGAAGAAGCACCGGCUAACUCCGUGCCAGCAGCCGCGGUAAUACGGAGGGUGCAAGCGUUAAUCGGAAUUACUGGGCGUAAAGCGCACGCAGGCGGUCUGUCAAGUCGGAUGUGAAAUCCCCGGGCUCAACCUGGGAACUGCAUUCGAAACUGGCAGGCUAGAGUCUUGUAGAGGGGGGUAGAAUUCCAGGUGUAGCGGUGAAAUGCGUAGAGAUCUGGAGGAAUACCGGUGGCGAAGGCGGCCCCCUGGACAAAGACUGACGCUCAGGUGCGAAAGCGUGGGGAGCAAACAGGAUUAGAUACCCUGGUAGUCCACGCCGUAAACGAUGUCGAUUUGGAGGUUGUGCCCUUGAGGCGUGGCUUCCGGAGCUAACGCGUUAAAUCGACCGCCUGGGGAGUACGGCCGCAAGGUUAAAACUCAAAUGAAUUGACGGGGGCCCGCACAAGCGGUGGAGCAUGUGGUUUAAUUCGAUGCAACGCGAAGAACCUUACCUACUCUUGACAUCCACAGAAUCUGGUAGAGAUACCUCAGUGCCUUCGGGAACUGUGAGACAGGUGCUGCAUGGCUGUCGUCAGCUCGUGUUGUGAAAUGUUGGGUUAAGUCCCGCAACGAGCGCAACCCUUAUCCUUUGUUGCCAGCGGUCCGGCCGGGAACUCAAAGGAGACUGCCAGUGAUAAACUGGAGGAAGGUGGGGAUGACGUCAAGUCAUCAUGGCCCUUACGACCAGGGCUACACACGUGCUACAAUGGCAUAUACAAAGAGAAGCGACCUCGCGAGAGCAAGCGGACCUCAUAAAGUAUGUCGUAGUCCGGAUUGGAGUCUGCAACUCGACUCCAUGAAGUCGGAAUCGCUAGUAAUCGUAGAUCAGAAUGCUACGGUGAAUACGUUCCCGGGCCUUGUACACACCGCCCGUCACACCAUGGGAGUGGGUUGCAAAAGAAGUAGGUAGCUUAACCUUCGGGAGGGCGCUUACCACUUUGUGAUUCAUGACUGGGGUGAAGUCGUAACAAGGUAACCGUAGGGGAACCUGCGGUUGGAUCACCUCCUUA